GCCUCCCAAAACCUCGCCGAGGAAUUAAGAUGAGGGUGAAAGGGGAUGGUGACGGCACCCAUGAGGAUGGCGUGAAAAAUAAUGAGGGGCAGAGAUGGAGGAUGAUAUUUUGAUGUUGAUGUUAAUGAUUAUUUGGUAAUCACGAGAUGAUGAGGUAAUGAUUGUGGUUUUUAGAUGUUAGUGAUGGUAUUUUAUAGUUUCCAGUAACACUAUUAAAAGAGUAAUAAUAAUAAUAUUAUUAUUAGGUUUGAUUAAUUUGCAGGUUCCCAAUCAAAGUUGCUAGGAUGAUAUAUUAAGUGUUUCAUAGAAAUUUGGUUUCGAGGGUGAACAUGGAUAAAGGAAUUUGAGAUGAAUUCAAGUUGAGCAGGAAUUAAAUUGACUCAUUGGAGAUUUGAUAUUUUGAGAGUAAAUGGUUGUAAUGUUAUUUGCAGUUUAUGUAUUAAGUUG
This is a long non-coding RNA of Ipomoea nil (Japanese morning glory), 447 nucleotides long. RefSeq lists it as uncharacterized. The record is from RefSeq and is a predicted model, not a curated record. The transcript is spliced from 3 exons. Lineage: Eukaryota; Viridiplantae; Streptophyta; Magnoliopsida; Solanales; Convolvulaceae.